Scophthalmus maximus (turbot) is the source of this 1874-nucleotide long non-coding RNA. NCBI's taxonomy places the organism in Eukaryota, Metazoa, Chordata, Actinopteri, Pleuronectiformes, Scophthalmidae. The record is from Ensembl.
AUGCAACACCUACCUGCAGGUGUGUAUAAAAGGCAAAGGCGUGAAUCAUCUGUUUCAAAUCGUCCCUUUCACUGCGCCAAGUGCUGUAGCUCCGGCUUGUUACACAAUAACUUCAGUCCGUGGCUCCAUCAGUUUCCGGCUUUGAAGAUGAAGAACUUUCCUGUCGUGCUUAUUCUCGGACUUCUUGCUGUUGCCCAGACAACACCUGUUACUCCCGUGACCCAGAUUCCCACCAAAGCUGAGGACGAAGUGCUCCGAGAGGCGGUGACGGACGGGUUCCUCAUCGAUCACUUCUUCCCCCGUUCCCUCACAACUGACUCGCCCAAGAGGAACGCGACCGCCCUUCCGUCCCAGCAGCCGUCCUCUGACCCGAAAGAGGAUGCUACAGACGCGCCCGGCGAGGAGACCACGACCCCCGUGUUCGUCCUGCAUGGAGGUGACCACCAUGCAACCACAACCCACAACGUGGUGUCGUCCACGGAGCCCACAUUCCCCAGUUCAGAUUCAUCUCCCACCGAAAGACCUCAGUCUAGCUUUACAUCUUCAUCGGUGCCGAAUGACGCCCAGUCAAACGCCGCCACCACGGACCACAUCCCGGUCUCCCAAACCACCGACGCCGCUGUCUCCAGCUUUGACUUCCUGGGCACUCUGAGUUCAGAUUCUGGGUCUGGACACGAAGAGGAGCCAAGCGAGGAAACGACUGCGAGCUCCAGUGCGGCCUCCGUCUCCAACACAGACACUAGCGCUGCACCAUCAACCGACACCACUGCUCUACAGUCACGACUGUUCGUAGAGGUUGAAGGAUCAGGAUCAGGAUCAGGAACCAUUGCAGACACUAGCACUGCGCCAUCAACCCCCACGACUGCUCUCAUCCAAUCAGGACAGUUUGGAGAUGAUAAAGGAUCAGGAUCAGGAUCAGAAUCACGACUGAUGGCAGAAACUAGCACUACACCAUCAACCUCCACGACCAUUCUUAUGCCGCCCAAAGCUCCACGAGUGCUCACAAAGAGUGCUCCAUCAGAAUCGCCUGAGGUGGAUUCACCGGUUGAAGAGACAAUAAUUCAGAACAGGUCUUUCGAGAACCAGUCCACAGAAGGAGAUCACGAACCGCAAAAAGUGGAAGAAGCUGUCAACGCUCCAUCACCCCGGGGCAAAGAGAAGAGCACACCAGGUUGGAUCAUCAUCCUUGCUUUCAUUGUUGGCGUUGCAGCACUGGUAAUGCUCUUGGCCGCCAUCGCUACCAGAGACAAGUGGAAUAGACCAACUCAACGGGUGACCCAGCCAGAGACCAAGGCCGGCUCCUCAGACCAGCAGAGGGAGGUAGAGAUGGAGACAUUCCUGCACAAGGACGAGCCCGCGGAGAACGGCAAGUCGGCGGAGUACACAGUCAUCCCCCUGGACGAGCUUCCAGAAGAUUAUUCGUCACACUGACGUUCACAAAGAGAGAGAGAGAGAGAGAGAGAGAGAGAGAGAGAGAGAGAGAGAAAGACCCUAAGGAGGCUUGAGACUCAUCACAGAACCACAUGACUGAGGAUCAGAGGAACGCGUCCCCUCGGAGCCGUUGAGCAGAGAGGCCUCCGGUGGACCGACUGGAGAUCUGCAUUUUGUUCCCCCCGCCCGCUGACUUUCAACAACUCGUACCACGCCCUCGCUCUGAAGCUGCAGCGACACUUUUGGUUGAUUUAUUUAUUUUCCAUAUCAACUAUGUCAUCAACUGUAAAAAAAAAAAAGGAAAAAAGGAAAAAAAGAGAUUGCUUGGGUGAGAUUGGACAAAUGCCAUUUAUUUCAAAUACACUUUAAAAAAGAUUGUUUCAUUUCCCGGUUCAUCGUUGUAAAUAAUGAAUUAAUACGCUGUUGUUGUUGCUGUUGUUGUU